GAUGAACGCUGGCGGCGUGCCUAAUACAUGCAAGUCGAGCGAACAGAUAAGGAGCUUGCUCCUUUGACGUUAGCGGCGGACGGGUGAGUAACACGUGGAUAACCUACCUAUAAGACUGGGAUAACUUCGGGAAACCGGAUCUAAUACCGGAUAACAUAUUGAACCGCAUGGUUCAAUAGUGAAAGGCGGCUUUGCUGUCACUUAUAGAUGGAUCCGCGCCGUAUUAGCUAGUUGGUAAGGUAACGGCUUACCAAGGCAACGAUACGUAGCCGACCUGAGAGGGUGAUCGGCCACAUUGGAACUGAGACACGGUCAAGACUCCUACGGGAGGCAGCAGUAGGGAAUCUUCCGCAAUGGGCGAAAGCCUGACGGAGCAACGCCGCGUGAGUGAUGAAGGUCUUCGGAUCGUAAAACUCUGUUAUCAGGGAAGAACAAAUGUGUAAGUAACUGUGCACAUCUUGACGGUACCUGAUCAGAAAGCCACGGCUAACUACGUG
RNAcentral lists this ribosomal RNA (497 nucleotides) under uncultured bacterium. RNAcentral's name for it is "partial 16S ribosomal RNA". It matches the Rfam family "Bacterial small subunit ribosomal RNA", at positions 28 to 507 of the family's 1533-position model. The record is from RNAcentral.